AUACGUAGGGUGCGAGCGUUGUCCGGAGUUACUGGGCGUAAAGAGCUUGUAGGCGGUUUGUCGCGUCGAUCGUGAAAACUCGCAGCUCAACUGUGGGCGUGCGGUCGAUACGGGCAGACUUGAGUACUGCAGGGGAGACUGGAAUUCCUGGUGUAGCGGUGAAAUGCGCAGAUAUCAGGAGGAACACCGGUGGCGAAGGCGGGUCUCUGGGCAGUAACUGACGCUGAGAAGCGAAAGCGUGGGUAGCGAUCCGGA
RNAcentral lists this ribosomal RNA (255 nucleotides) under uncultured prokaryote. RNAcentral's name for it is "partial 16S ribosomal RNA". It matches the Rfam family "Bacterial small subunit ribosomal RNA", at positions 523 to 777 of the family's 1533-position model. The record is from RNAcentral.